Neopelma chrysocephalum (saffron-crested tyrant-manakin) is the source of this 684-nucleotide non-coding RNA. NCBI's taxonomy places the organism in Eukaryota, Metazoa, Chordata, Aves, Passeriformes, Pipridae. The record is from the annotation of a RefSeq genome assembly.
UAAAUAAAUAAUUGGAUGGAUGGAUUUCCCAAAUCUAAAUACAUUGAAGUUAUAAGUGGUAAGCUCUUGGCUGUGGGGGAAGCAGGGAGUUUGUGGGUAGUGCCAGCUGGGCAGGCAGGGGCUGUGGUGGGGCACAGGGCCCUCUCUGACCCCACACCUCUCUCUUCCCUUGCAGGCCAGCCCGAGGUUGCUCCCACCCUCUACGUCUUCCCGUUGCCCUCCGAGCAGAUCUUGAAGGAGAACAAACUCAUGCUGGUGUGUAUGUUAGAUGGCUUCUACCCCGGCCAUGUGGAUGUGGAAUGGUGGGCUGACGGCAUCAUCCUCACAAGCAACGUGGAGACCAGUCAACCCGUGCGGCAGAGCAACGGCAAGUACAUGGCCAGCAGCUACCUGUCAUUGGACACCAGCCAGUGGCAAAGGUACGACGUAUUCUCCUGCAAGGCCAAGCACGAGGCUGGCAAUGUGGAGAAGACCAUGAACAGAUCCUAGUGCCCCUAAGCUCACUGGGACCUCCUCGCACCCACCAGCCCUUUGCUGGCUCCCUCCCUCCUCCCCACUUCUGGGGACAGCGGCUCCCCACAGCCGCACACCUCGCUCCCCACGUCCCCCUGUCCCCUGCUCCUGUCCCCCCACUCUGAGUGUCAGACAAAUAAAAACAGACACUGAACUAGUGCUGGCUCAGCA